This 301-nucleotide ribosomal RNA is filed under the name uncultured bacterium. RNAcentral's name for it is "partial 16S ribosomal RNA". It matches the Rfam family "Bacterial small subunit ribosomal RNA", at positions 509 to 808 of the family's 1533-position model. The record is from RNAcentral.
CAGCAGCCGCGGUAAUAAAGAGGAUGCAAGCGUUAUCCGGAAUGAUUGGGAAUAAAGUGUCUGUAGGUGGCUUUUCAAGUCCGCCGUCAAAUCCCCGAGCUCAACCCUGGACAAGCAGUGGAAACUACCAAGCUGGAGUACGGUAGGGGUAGAGGGAAUUUCUGGUGGAGCGGUGAAAUGCGUUGAGAUCGGAAAGAACACCAACGACGAAAGCACUUUGCUGGGCCGACACUGACACUGAGAGACGAAAGCUAGGGGAGCAAAUGGGAUUAGAUACCCCGUAGUCCCUGUCUCUUAUACA